This 427-nucleotide ribosomal RNA is filed under the name uncultured Candidatus Protochlamydia sp. Its description in RNAcentral is "bacterial SSU rRNA". It matches the Rfam family "Bacterial small subunit ribosomal RNA", at positions 355 to 774 of the family's 1533-position model. Lineage: Bacteria; Pseudomonadati; Chlamydiota; Chlamydiia; Parachlamydiales; Parachlamydiaceae. The record is from RNAcentral.
UCGAGAAUCAUUCGCAAUGGGCGAAAGCCUGACGAUGCGACGCCGCGUGAGCGAAGAAGGCCUUCGGGUUGUAAAGCUCUUUCGCUUGGGAACAAGAGAUAUUGGCUAAUAUCCAGUUGAUUUGAGCGUACCAGGUAAAGAAGCACCGGCUAACUCCGUGCCAGCAGCUGCGGUAAUACGGAGGGUGCAAGCAUUAAUCGGAUUUAUUGGGCGUAAAGAGCGCGUAGGCGGCGAAGAAAGUCAGAUGUGAAAUCCCGGGGCUUACCUCCGGAACUGCAUUUGAAACUUCUUCACUAGAGGGUAGGCGGAGAAAACGGAAUUCCACAAGUAGCGGUGAAAUGCGUAGAUAUGUGGAAGAACACCGGUGGCGAAGGCGGUUUUCUAGCUUAUACCUGACGCUGAGGCGCGAAAGCAAGGGGAGCAAACA